This 90-nucleotide small RNA is filed under the name Pedobacter psychrophilus. RNAcentral describes it as "Pedobacter sp. CCM 8644 Flavo-1 RNA". It matches the Rfam family "Flavo-1 RNA". The record is from Rfam by way of RNAcentral. Lineage: Bacteria; Pseudomonadati; Bacteroidota; Sphingobacteriia; Sphingobacteriales; Sphingobacteriaceae.
UUAUUGCGUUAGGGAUAGAAACGGCAUCCUUUUUUGCCUAUCACCGAUAAGCAAUUAGCAAAAAAGAUACAGUGAAUAGCCCGUUAAAAC